RNAcentral lists this ribosomal RNA (253 nucleotides) under uncultured bacterium. Its description in RNAcentral is "partial 16S ribosomal RNA". It matches the Rfam family "Bacterial small subunit ribosomal RNA", at positions 524 to 776 of the family's 1533-position model. The record is from RNAcentral.
UACGGGGGGGGCAAGCGUUGUUCGGAAUUACUGGGCGUAAAGGGCUCGUAGGCGGCCAACUAAGUCGGACGUGAAAUCCCUAGGCUUAACCUGGGAACUGCGUCCGAUACUGGAUGGCUUGAAUUCGGGAGAGGGAUGCAGAAUUCCAGGUGUAGCGGUGAAAUGCGUAGAUAUCUGGAGGAAUACCGGUGGCGAAGGCGGCAUCCUGGACCGACAUUGACGCUGAGGAGCGAAAGCCAGGGGAGCAAACGGG